UGGUAAUUAGUUUAACUAAAACAAAUGAUUUCGACUCAUUAAAUCAUGGAUUAUUACCCAUGUAUACCAA
Molecule: transfer RNA, 70 nt
Filed under: Eospalax rufescens
Lineage: Eukaryota; Metazoa; Chordata; Mammalia; Rodentia; Spalacidae
Description: tRNA-Arg
Rfam family: tRNA
About the family: Transfer RNA (tRNA) molecules are approximately 80 nucleotides in length. Their secondary structure includes four short double-helical elements and three loops (D, anti-codon, and T loops). Further hydrogen bonds mediate the characteristic L-shaped molecular structure. tRNAs have two regions of fundamental functional importance: the anti-codon, which is responsible for specific mRNA codon recognition, and the 3' end, to which the tRNAs corresponding amino acid is attached (by aminoacyl-tRNA synthetases). tRNAs cope with the degeneracy of the genetic code in two manners: having more than one tRNA (with a specific anti-codon) for a particular amino acid; and 'wobble' base-pairing, i.e. permitting non-standard base-pairing at the 3rd anti-codon position.
Source: RNAcentral